RNAcentral lists this ribosomal RNA (492 nucleotides) under uncultured bacterium. RNAcentral describes it as "partial 16S ribosomal RNA". It matches the Rfam family "Bacterial small subunit ribosomal RNA", at positions 28 to 507 of the family's 1533-position model. The record is from RNAcentral.
GAUGAACGCUAGCUACAGGCUUAACACAUGCAAGUCGAGGGGAAACGACAUCGAAAGCUUGCUUUUGAUGGGCGUCGACCGGCGCACGGGUGAGUAACGCGUAUCCAACCUGCCCAUCACUUGGGAAUAACCUUGCGAAAGUAAGACUAAUACCCAAUGAUAUCCCACGAAGGCAUCGGAAUGGGAUUAAAGAUUUAUCGGUGAUGGAUGGGGAUGCGUCUGAUUAGCUUGUUGGCGGGGUAACGGCCCACCAAGGCAACGAUCAGUAGGGGUUCUGAGAGGAAGGUCCCCCACAUUGGAACUGAGACACGGUCCAAACUCCUACGGGAGGCAGCAGUGAGGAAUAUUGGUCAAUGGGCGAGAGCCUGAACCAGCCAAGUAGCGUGCAGGAAGACGGCCCUAUGGGUUGUAAACUGCUUUUAUAAGGGAAUAAAGUGGGUCACGUGUGACUUUUUGCAUGUACCAUAUGAAUAAGGACCGGCUAAUUCCGUG